Aphis gossypii (cotton aphid) is the source of this 920-nucleotide long non-coding RNA. RefSeq lists it as uncharacterized. Lineage: Eukaryota; Metazoa; Arthropoda; Insecta; Hemiptera; Aphididae. The record is from RefSeq and is a predicted model, not a curated record. The transcript is spliced from 3 exons.
UUCGGUAUAAUCCCCUAUUAUGUACCAAAAUAUUUCCAAACAAAGAUACGAUGUCGAGAAUUUUAAUAUCAUAUACAAUUGGUAUAUAUACUACAAUUCCCUUUCCCUGCUCCCCAGACUAACAUGUAUAUAAACUCAUCUUGCAUCGACAAUAAUUCCAUCCUUGCCCAUCUAUGUAGCCUAUACAUAUACCGUAUUCGUGUAUCAUCAUCAAUCAUCCAACGUCCGACAUCAUAUUUACUCAGUUUUCACGCAACCAACAGGUUGCAUCAUGACAGCAGAAACGGCAGCAAGUGGAGAUAGUUCACAUCGAGGAUAAAAUGGUGGCAGAAUCCUCAGGCUGUUAAUUGGGGUAGGUCGUAGGUGGAAUACAGAAGAGCAACAUUUUCAACAUCGAAAGAAAACCGUGACUGGAAUAUCCUGUACAACAAUAAAUAUUUAUAUACCAGGAAAAAAAACUUCUGAGAGUAAUCGAUUGUUAUUUGUUAAAUAAACACAAACAUUGUGACAAUUCGUAUUGGUUUGUUUAUGACAUUUAUACAUUCCGAAGCGUUUUGAAAUCAAUCCUUUAAGAUACAACUGUGCCAAACUAAAUCAACGGUGGCAAAUAAAAGAACAUAAUAAAACUGUAAAUGACGCAGUGUAGUCGUAAGGAAAUAAAGUUGUACAUAAACAGUAUAGAUCUUGUAGCUUGUAUGUACAUUAAAUACAGAAACAACUAUAUACAUACUAUGAUGACUACAUAUAAGAAAUGUUACGAUAAUAAAUUGAUCGUUUUAUGAAGAUAUAAUAAUAACAUUUAUAUACUUUGGUGAACAAAUACAAGGAAUUCACUCCAUAAAACAUAAAAUUCUUCCGUACAAAAAUAUAUUUUGAUUUAAUACACCAGAAGCAACCGACAUGAAUAUGGAUAUAUACAA